GGGUCGUUAGCUCAGUCACUUUUCGUUUAGAUCAAAAGCUGCAGUUGGCUUUUAACCAAUUGGUCGAAGGUGCGAAUCCUUCACGACCCC
RNAcentral lists this transfer RNA (90 nucleotides) under Shewanella sp. OMA3-2. RNAcentral's name for it is "tRNA-Lys". It matches the Rfam family "tRNA". Rfam says of the family: Transfer RNA (tRNA) molecules are approximately 80 nucleotides in length. Their secondary structure includes four short double-helical elements and three loops (D, anti-codon, and T loops). Lineage: Bacteria; Pseudomonadati; Pseudomonadota; Gammaproteobacteria; Alteromonadales; Shewanellaceae. The record is from RNAcentral.